UAUCCUGACAUUAUAAAUAUCACACAUCUCAACGUCAGAGUCGCAGUGAGCAGGAGAUUCUCUCUUUCAGAUCAUCUCAAGAUUCAAUUUUGGAAAUUAUUUGGAAAAACAAACUAAUUUAAUGCAUGGCAGGAUUAUAUCCGGACCAUCACAAACUGCAAAAGAAAGACAAAACAAGAAAGAAGAGAAAAAUGUCAAGCAAAAAGGACAUGAUACAACCUGAUCAAGCAAAAACUAAAAAGACACAUGUGAGACGGCAAAGCAUUUACAGUGGCAAACCCAAUUUUUCUAAUGAUGAGGACAGUUUUGAGGUGAGAGAUGAUCUAUAUAUACAGAGAUGAAAUAGAAACUGUAAAUAUUCAACGCAUUCUCAUCCCAAGGCAUCAUAUACGACGCUUUUGCCACAUCCAAGGCACAUGGCACCC
Pimephales promelas (fathead minnow) is the source of this 425-nucleotide non-coding RNA. The record is from RefSeq and is a predicted model, not a curated record. Lineage: Eukaryota; Metazoa; Chordata; Actinopteri; Cypriniformes; Leuciscidae.